RNAcentral lists this ribosomal RNA (460 nucleotides) under uncultured bacterium. RNAcentral describes it as "partial 16S ribosomal RNA". It matches the Rfam family "Bacterial small subunit ribosomal RNA", at positions 338 to 795 of the family's 1533-position model. The record is from RNAcentral.
CCUACGGGUGGCAGCAGUGAGGAAUAUUGGUCAAUGGACGCAAGUCUGAACCAGCCAUGCCGCGUGCAGGAAGACGGCUCUAUGAGUUGUAAACUGCUUUUGUACGAGGGUAAACGCAGGUACGCGUAUCUGUCUGAAAGUAUCUUACGAAUAAGGAUCGGCUAACUCCGUGCCAGCAGCCGCGGUAAUACGGAGGAUCCAAGCGUUAUCCGGAUUUAUUGGGUUUAAAGGGUGCGUAGGCGGUCGGAUAAGUUAGAUGUGAAAUCCCGCGGCUCAACUUCGGAAUUGCAGCUGAUACUGGCAGGCUGGAGUGUAGUUGCGGUAGGCGGAAUGCGUGGUGUAGCGGUGAAAUGCUUAGAUAUCAUGCAGAACACCGAUUGCGAAGGCAGCUUACCAAGCUGCUACUGACGUUGAGGCACGAAAGCGUGGGGAGCAAACAGGAUUAGAUACCCGUGUAGUC